Molecule: long non-coding RNA, 2942 nt
Filed under: Nicotiana benthamiana
Lineage: Eukaryota; Viridiplantae; Streptophyta; Magnoliopsida; Solanales; Solanaceae
Description: long non-coding RNA (NBEN_LNC015988)
Source: RNAcentral
AUUUUUUACAAAGGGUAACAAGAGUACCAACAGAACAUUAGAUAAUGAAUCAGCUGCUGCAGUUUCUAUUUUCUCAGAACUUGAUUAUUCACUUCCUUUGCAAUGUCCUGCUGUUCGAGCUAUAUCUGGGAGUGAUAAUCAUGAUGCUGUGAGUCAAUUUCUUCAAAUAAAAGUAAGUCUUACAGAUGAUGAUGUUGCGCAGAACACAUUUCGACAAGAUACCUCUAAUCAACCUGAUAUGGUUCAACAAGGCAGUAUGACCUCUUUUAUAUAUACAACAGCUGCAGUUUCUAAUGCCGCCUUAUUUCAACAUGAGUUUGAUUUAGAGCCUACUGAUGCUACACAACAAACAAAUGAAGCUGGUCAACAUACUGCAAAUAAUUUGUCAUCGAUGUCCAACAGAAAAGCAACUCCCAAAACCAAAAACAAAAUGCAUAUCGCAGAUAAGAGUCUAGCUAUACAUACAAACUCAAACUCAUUUGCUGCACUUACCAAUGUCAAUAAUGAGGAUAAAAACUUGACUGGAGAAAAUUUCCAGAUGGUCGAGAGUUAUUAUCAAACUAGCUCAUCGACUACGGCGGCAUUGAAUAAAGUUCAUCCUAAUGAUCCAAAUUCGCAAAUGCAGGCCAAUGAUCAUAUUUCUCCAACCAUACCUUCCUCCAUUACACAUGUUGAGACAAUUAUCAAAGAUUAUGGGGAACCAUCAACCUCCACUGGAAAUACCAAACAAGUAAUUCAAGCUAAGAUGUGGGACAUGGUCAUUAAAUCGAAACUAUGAAAAGACCAACGAGAUUUUAACGAUGAUGAGGGCUGGGGAGAAGGACUAGCUGGUUAUUCAUCUUCAGAAGACGACCAAGAGUUUGAUCACGAUAGUGCAGGAGAGGACAUUGAUGCUCAAGUCAAGCCAAAAUUUCAAGGGAAAUCAGCAACAAUCAAUUGUCCUGCAAAUCUGUAACCUGCAGCAAACACAACAUCAACUUGAACCAUAAUGCUCCAGUAUUUGUUCCAAGAAAUACAAAUUGUCCUGCAAAUCUGCAACCUGCAGCAACAAACAACAACUUGAACCAUAAUGCUCGAGUAUUUGUUCCAAGAAAUACUACAAAAUUAGGCGAAACAUCAGCUGCUGAUCGAAACGCAACAGCACUGCCAACAUCUGCCCAGAAUCAUAUUGUACCAAUAAAAUCAAUCGCUACUUUGGAGGAGAGGAAACUGUUGGAUGCAAUGAGGCAACCUUUGCAUACAACACAGCGGCAACAAAGGAAUGCAACAACACCAACUAAUUUUCCUUCUGCCGAUAACAAAACAGUACCAUUUUCACAGAUGGGGCAGCACCAGCUCGUAUCAACAGCUCCAGAAAUCAUUCUACAGGACAAACAACUACUGGAUGCGAGGGCAGGAACAUAUAUGAAGAAAGGGAGGAAGAAGGGCAGCACCAGCUCGCAUCAACAGCUCCAGAAAUCACUCUACAGGACAGACAACUACUGGAUACAAGGGCAGGAAGACAUAUAUAUGAAGAAGGGGAGGAAGACGAUAUCUUAACGCAAUUCCGAGCAGGCGCGUCAAGAAAAGGUGAUUUGUCACCAAUGCAUAGUAAAACAAGUAAGAAGUCUCGUGAAAGGGAUAGAAGUUGGGACGGCAGGGUGUUUGAAGACGCAAACAUAAGGAGAUCCCCAAUGAGAAAUGCAAAACAAAAUUAGGUCACUGAAACAAUUCUUACAAAGUGCAAUUGAUCGAGGAACAAAGCAUGAAUUUUGAAGUCAUAUUGAGAAAAUUGUGGACGAAGACGUUAUUCUACAAAUUGAAUUUUCACAAAAUCGGAGAAAAGAGAGCACCUUGACGGCUUCUUCAACCUUUUAUUUUACCAUCUCAUUAGUAUUAUUCUAUUUAAUAUCAUCACAGAGCAUGUUAUAAACUCUGUGAUGAUCAUACUUUUCUUAGUUCUUGCUACUUCUUUAUUUUUUCAUGCUUGUAGUUCAUGAGGCUUUUAUUGGCCUCAAUAGGAUCAAUAAGGUAAGGUUUACGCCGGUUGUGUUAUAUGGGUAAAUAUAUCGGUGCAGUCCCUCCUUAUUUUAUCUUUCCUAUUUGUUGUAAUUUUCAUUUUCAUAAUAUUAAUGAAAACUAGCCCCAGGCGCUUGACUGGUGGAUUGCCAAAAAAAAUAUAAAUACACUUAAUUAUUUAAAUUAACUCUCAAAUCAAUGUAACAAACUAGGCAUAUAGCAGAAAUUAAGAACAAAUAUGCAAAUCAAUAUUUGAGUUCUAACCAUUAAAUAAAACCACUCAUAUAUAAAGAUAUAAUCUAAAUUGUGCUCUCUAAAAACAUUGACCAACUUAAAUCUAUUAAACAAUAAGUGAUUCACGUCAUUAUUGGAAAGUUAAAAACAAUCUGGUUUUAGCUCAAAUAAUUAAUUAUUAAGAAAAUGCUUCAAACAUAAACUAAUAAAUCAAAGUAUAAAAACAACAUAAUCAUGUUAUCAUGCUAUCAUGCUAUCGUCCAUUCCAUAGCUAAGAGAACCAUUUCCUGUACCUUUUCCCCACGUUCAAAUUCCUCCAAUGAUCCAAAAUUGCGAGGCACCAAUACUCGAUUCGGGGCUGUUCUCCCUUGGGUUCUGCAACUACUAGGUUAGAGAUUAGGUGGUGUCAAUUUCUUUUUUGUUUUUGUGUGUUGGUGUUUCUUUCACUUUCUAAAUUUUCUGAGUACAAACAAGGAAAAGAUUACAGAAAAAAGAUGGAAAUACCUUGGCAAUGGCUGCCGUUUUCUUGUCUUCAAGUCUUUUGGAAUUAAGAAUUGAAAACUUAGGGUAGCAUUUCUAUAAUUGAGUAUUUUAUAUGGAGAUGGGAAGAGAUAAUGGUCAUUGAAUUAAAAAAAAAAGAUGACUAGAAUUAAAUCUUACAUUUAAGUGGGCUAAUGGGUUGGAAAAAAAUAUGCUAAGGGUAAUUGGGU